RNAcentral lists this ribosomal RNA (253 nucleotides) under uncultured bacterium. RNAcentral describes it as "partial 16S ribosomal RNA". It matches the Rfam family "Bacterial small subunit ribosomal RNA", at positions 524 to 776 of the family's 1533-position model. The record is from RNAcentral.
UACGUAGGGUGCGAGCGUUAAUCGGAAUUACUGGGCGUAAAGCGUGCGCAGGCGGUGAUGUAAGACAGGUGUGAAAUCCCCGGGCUUAACCUGGGAACUGCAUUUGUGACUGCAUCGCUGGAGUGCGGCAGAGGGGGAUGGAAUUCCGCGUGUAGCAGUGAAAUGCGUAGAUAUGCGGAGGAACACCGAUGGCGAAGGCAAUCCCCUGGUCCUUGACUGACGCUGAGGCGCGAAAGCGUGGGGAGCAAACAGG